RNAcentral lists this ribosomal RNA (557 nucleotides) under uncultured fungus. Its description in RNAcentral is "SSU rRNA". It matches the Rfam family "Eukaryotic small subunit ribosomal RNA", at positions 194 to 755 of the family's 1831-position model. Lineage: Eukaryota; Fungi. The record is from RNAcentral.
GGAAGGGAUGUAUUUAUUAGAUAAAAAACCAAUGCCCUUCGGGGCUCUUUGGUGAUUCAUGAUAACUUAACGGAUCGCAUGGCCUUGCGCCGGCGACGGUUCAUUCAAAUUUCUGCCCUAUCAACUUUCGAUGGUAAGGUAUUGGCUUACCAUGGUUUCAACGGGUAACGGGGAAUUAGGGUUCGAUUCCGGAGAGGGAGCCUGAGAAACGGCUGCCACAUCCAAGGAAGGCAGCAGGCGCGCAAAUUACCCAAUCCCGACACGGGGAGGUAGUGACAAUAAAUACUGAUACAGGGCUCUUUUGGGUCUUGUAAUCGGAAUGAGUACAAUUUAAACCCCUUAACGAGGAACAAUUGGAGGGCAAGUCUGGUGCCAGCAGCCGCGGUAAUUCCAGCUCCAAUAGCGUAUAUUAAAGUUGUUGCAGUUAAAAAGCUCGUAGUUGAACCUUGGGCCUGGCUGGCCGGUCCGCCUCACCGCGUGUACUGGUCCGGCCGGGCCUUUCCUUCUGGAGAGCCCCAUGCCCUUCACUGGGCGUGCGGGGGAACCAGGACUUUUAC